AUUGAACGCUGGCGGCAGGCUUAACACAUGCAAGUCGAGCGGGGUGAUGGUGCUUGCACUAUCACUUAGCGGCGGACGGGUGAGUAAUGCUUAGGAAUCUGCCUAUUAGUGGGGGACAACAUCUCGAAAGGGAUGCUAAUACCGCAUACGUCCUACGGGAGAAAGCAGGGGAUCACUUGUGACCUUGCGCUAAUAGAUGAGCCUAAGUCGGAUUAGCUAGUUGGUGGGGUAAAGGCCUACCAAGGCGACGAUCUGUAGCGGGUCUGAGAGGAUGAUCCGGCACAAUGGGGCGGAGAAAAGGCCCAGAAUCCUACGGGAGGCAGGAGGGGGGAAUAUUGGGCAAUGGGGGGAACCCUGAUCCAGCCAUGCCGGGUGUGUGAAGAAGGCCUUAUGGUUGUAAAGCACUUUAAGCGAGGAGGAGGCUCUUUUGGUUAAUACCCAAGAUGAGUGGACGUUACUCGCAGAAUAAGCACCGGCUAACUCUGUGCCAGCCGCCGCAGUAA
Molecule: ribosomal RNA, 503 nt
Filed under: uncultured bacterium
Lineage: Bacteria
Description: partial 16S ribosomal RNA
Rfam family: Bacterial small subunit ribosomal RNA
Source: RNAcentral